Small nuclear RNA from Macrosteles quadrilineatus (aster leafhopper), 127 nucleotides. RefSeq annotates it as U11 spliceosomal RNA. NCBI's taxonomy places the organism in Eukaryota, Metazoa, Arthropoda, Insecta, Hemiptera, Cicadellidae. The record is from RefSeq and is a predicted model, not a curated record. The transcript has a single exon.
UUAAAGGGUGUUUGCCGCUUACAUGGCAUGCAGGUCCUUUGGAUCUGUAGGGUAUGGCUAUCAAGACAUACCCAACACAUUAUUUUUGUAACGUGGGGCUGUUGGCUGCCUGAGCACCGGCGCCCCC